RNAcentral lists this ribosomal RNA (566 nucleotides) under Sporotrichum roseum. Its description in RNAcentral is "eukaryotic LSU rRNA". The stretch from base 198 to 351 matches the Rfam family "5.8S ribosomal RNA". Lineage: Eukaryota; Fungi; Basidiomycota. The record is from RNAcentral.
UAACGAGUAACUGAAAAGGUUUUACCUGGCUCUCGGGGCAUGUGCACCCCUGGCUCACCACUCUUCAACCUCUGUGCACUUUUUUUAGGUCGGUAGAAGAGCGAGCAUCCUCUGAUGCUUUCUUUGAAGCCUUCCUAUGUUUUACUAAAAACGCUUCAGUUUAAGAAUGUCUACCUGCGUAUAACGCAUCUAUAUAAAACUUUCAGCAACGGAUCUCUUUGCUCUCGCAUCGAUGAAGAACGCAGCGAAAUGCGAUAAGUAAUGUGAAUUUCAGAAUUCAGUGAAUCAUCGAAUCUUUUAACGCACCUUUCGCUCCCUGGUAUUCCGGGGAGCAUGCCUGUUUUAGUGUCAUGGUAUCCUCAACCUUCAUAACUUUUUUUUAUCGAAGCUUUGACUUUGAGGUUUUGCUGGCUUCUAAUCAAGUCGGCUCCUCUUAAAUGUAUUAGCGUGAGUGUAACGGAUCGCUUCGGUGUGAUAAUUAUCUGCGCCGUGGUCGUGAAGUAAAAUAAGCUUUCGCUUCUAACCGUCCUUCAGUUUUGAAAAUUUACUUUUAAAUCUGAAAAAAA